RNAcentral lists this long non-coding RNA (1130 nucleotides) under Lathyrus oleraceus (garden pea). RNAcentral describes it as "Pisum sativum (pea) long non-coding RNA (PSAT_LNC000265)". The record is from RNAcentral. Lineage: Eukaryota; Viridiplantae; Streptophyta; Magnoliopsida; Fabales; Fabaceae.
AGUCUAAAUUUCAAUUGUAAUAACAAAAUAAGAGAGUUGUAAUCAAUCAACUUAACAUCUUAAGAAUUCUCAACAACAAAAUUAGUCUUAUGACUUCAACAUAAUCAAGCAUAAGGAAUAAAAUAAGCGUUUAACCCUACCCGAUAUUACAUGAUCAGAGCAAUGUACCACUAGUAAAAGCGAAAAAAUAAAGAAGUAACUCCAAGAGCUACCUUCCACUUACUUCAUCAAUACUACUCUUGAGUAUCUGCAUGCUGCCCGUGUAAAGGCAACAUUCAAACAAAAGAGGUGAUAAUUCAUAUCAAUAAUAACGAUAUAGAAUGAAGAAUAUAGUACAACAUCUACACAAUCAUGCACAAUAAUAUAUCAUAUUCUUACAUCCAAAUCAUAAUCAACAUCAUAUACGACAACAUCUCAAUUAUCAUCAACAUCAUACAAAACCACAUCUCAAUUAUCAUUAACAUUAUAUGCAACAACAUCUCAUCCAACAACACAUCAACAACAACCAAUACAAAUGCAGAAUUUAUGUAAUGUACUCAACACCGACUCGACAUGCAUGUGGUACCAAAUAUGAGCACCCAGGUUCAUCUCACUCCAUGAUCCCCAUCAUAGGAUCGAUUUCCUCUUGGAACCAGCGCAUACCAAAAUCGCUACCAUUAACAUAGGUAACACUUCACUAAUCCUCCAUAAUAGGAAUUAGCUACUCGCACUCGAUCCAUCACAAUAGGAUCGAGGCUCACCAAAAAUCGUUACCAUCAACAUAGGUAACACUUCACUAAUCCUCCAUAAUAGAAAUUAGAUACUCGCAUACGAUCCAUCACCAUAGAAUUGAGGCUCACCAAAAUUGGACUGAAUCUCGUACAUCAAGAUGCAUGACUCUGAAAUAACAUGCAUUAAUACAAUAAGGUUCACCUGAAGGAUCCCCACACACAUCUCAUCAUUUAUGCAUCACAUCAUUCAUCAUGAAACAACCAAUUUAUGUUACCACGUGAAUAAUAUCAACAAACAAUAGCAACUCAUCAACAUCUUAACAUUAUCGACAUAACAACAUAAUUAUCACACCACGAUAUUACAAUAAUGCAACGAUUCAUCAAUCAAACGUAUAAACCAAUACAUUUAUUAACAUAGUA